CCGACGGUGAGGGGUGAAAGCUGGGGGCACGAACCGGAUUAGAUACCCGGGUAGUCCCAGCUGUAAACGAUGCUCGCUAGGUGUCAGGUGCGGUGCGACCGCAUCUGGUGCCGCAGUGAAAACUUGAAGCGAGUCACCUGGGAAGUACGGUCGCAAGGCUGAAACUUAAAGGAAUUGGCGGGGGAGCACUACAACGGGUGGAGCCUGCGGUUCAAUUGGAUUCAACGCCGGAAAGCUUACCGGACUC
This 247-nucleotide ribosomal RNA is filed under the name uncultured archaeon. RNAcentral describes it as "partial 16S ribosomal RNA". It matches the Rfam family "Archaeal small subunit ribosomal RNA", at positions 691 to 937 of the family's 1478-position model. The record is from RNAcentral.